GAGCAAUGUAAUUUCUUGAUCAAAAUAGCUUCAAUGCUGCUAUAUUCUACAAAAAUGCAUAUAUUUUAGCUGUUGUAACAACAAUCAGGAAGGAAAGAAUUCUCUUAGAAGUAUUCUUUAAAUUAAGAUAGAGUAAUUUAAUCGGGAUUGGGAAUAAGGAGGCAGGGAUGAUUUUGCUACUUUUUUUUAAAAUAUAAAACACUUAAUAUUGAGAUUAUAACUUUGUUAAUAUUAUUCUGGGUGCUAAACCUUCUGCAAUAUCGCAGAAUGGAAUACCAAAAAAAUUAACCCAUUUGAACAAAGAAAGAAGACAGCAAAAAGUACUGAACUGAGGACAAGAAGGUUAAAAAUUGGAUUAAAAAAAAAUUUAAUCAUCCACUUGGACUAGUCUUUGACAGAUAAUACGUUUUCCGCGCUACUAGUCAUAUCACAAUUUUUGCCUUCACUUUGGAAGGAAAAGCACUCAAAAUAUUACAAUAUUUUCCAUUCACUUUCCAGGGA
Molecule: unclassified non-coding RNA, 501 nt
Filed under: Hevea brasiliensis (rubber tree)
Lineage: Eukaryota; Viridiplantae; Streptophyta; Magnoliopsida; Malpighiales; Euphorbiaceae
Source: RNAcentral